UCCUUCCCAUUUUGUUCUUUCUCUCUGUCUCUCUUGGCAUUUUCCUUUCAUAAUGGGAGCUGAAUCAGAAUCUCAUCAAACUUCAUUUUCUUUGGCAGAUCCACGGCCUCCGGGGGACGUGUUCACCGGAGAUGAGGGAGACGGCGGCGUUCCCGUCUAUCUCGGUGGUGGAUCUGAUCGUAGAUGGUGUUGUCUGGCAUGAGAGGGCUCUCCGUCUUUAUCGGAGACAUUCGUAUUUGACAGAAACCUUCAUGUUGGCUAAACUCGGCAACUUCCUAACGCGUUUUAUAAACGAUUAGGUCAAAAACCCUCGUCUUCCAUCUGCCUAAGUAAGCUUCUUCAGACCAUAUCUAUAUCUACUGAAAUGUUUUCCCCUGAUGAGGUCCCUUUCUGGACCAUCUUUUAAAGCUUCAACAAGUGAUGAACAUCCAAUGGGUCAACAAUCCAGCACUCCUUGAGCAAUGCGGGCUAGUUAUAUGGCUAAAUUGAGGUGAACUGAUGUUAGUUUCGCAAACCACAGCGUAAUUCAACAAGUACGGUCUUCAAGCCAGUGAUUGUACAAGCAGUGGUCAUUUUCUUAUAUGGCUCUUUUACUGAAUUAUUCGUGGUACAGCUUGUAAAAGAUAGUUUCGUAGUACAAAUUGUAACAUCAGUAUUGUCAUUCUCUUAAAAAUUAGUUUCAUUAGGAUA
Long non-coding RNA from Vigna angularis (adzuki bean), 690 nucleotides. RefSeq lists it as uncharacterized. The transcript is spliced from 3 exons. NCBI's taxonomy places the organism in Eukaryota, Viridiplantae, Streptophyta, Magnoliopsida, Fabales, Fabaceae. The record is from RefSeq and is a predicted model, not a curated record.